AGGGUGUAAACGCUGCGGGCUUGGUGUUGGGGGUCCUUUGAGGGCGCCCAGUGCCGGAGAGAAGUUGUUAAGCCUGCUGCUUGGGGAGUACGCCCGCAAGGAUGAAACUUAAAGGAAUUGGCGGGGGGAGCACAACAACGGGUGGAGCUUGCGGUUUAAUUGGAUUCAACGCCGGAAAUCUUACCGGGACCGACAGCAACAUGAAGGCCAAGCUGAAGACUUUGCCGGAUUAGCUGAGAGGUGGUGCAUGGCGUAGUCGUGU
This 262-nucleotide ribosomal RNA is filed under the name uncultured archaeon. Its description in RNAcentral is "partial 16S ribosomal RNA". It matches the Rfam family "Archaeal small subunit ribosomal RNA", at positions 748 to 1009 of the family's 1478-position model. The record is from RNAcentral.